AGGAGAAGUCUGACUGAGCACUGCCGCGUGAGUGAUGAAGGCCUUCGGGUCGUAAAGCUCUGUUGUGAGGGAAGAAGCGGUACCGUUCGAAUAGGGCGGUACCUUGACGGUACCUCACCAGAAAGCCACGGCUAAAUACGUGCCAGCAGCCGCGGUAAUACA
This 162-nucleotide ribosomal RNA is filed under the name uncultured bacterium. RNAcentral's name for it is "partial 16S ribosomal RNA". It matches the Rfam family "Bacterial small subunit ribosomal RNA", at positions 373 to 527 of the family's 1533-position model. The record is from RNAcentral.